Helianthus annuus (common sunflower) is the source of this 2086-nucleotide long non-coding RNA. RefSeq lists it as uncharacterized. The record is from RefSeq and is a predicted model, not a curated record. Lineage: Eukaryota; Viridiplantae; Streptophyta; Magnoliopsida; Asterales; Asteraceae. The transcript is spliced from 4 exons.
AAAAACCCUACGUUUUGAACACUAAAAGGGUUUUGAACAGUAAAAGGGCUUUCUUGGUAAAUUACAAAUUUGUGUACCCAUCGUAUAAUACCCUCAACCCCUGCCCUACACCCACCGUUGAAAGAGAGCUGCCGGGAGGUGGCUACCGCCGGCCACACAUGUCGCCGCCCUAAUCUCAUGUGAAGCCCCAGUAUCAAACCCAAACCUACUGCACCACCACACACCGCUGAUUACACGCCAGAGAGAUCAGAAAGAAGGAGAGAGAGAAUGGUAGCGGGCCAUGUCCCCGUGUGUGUGCCAAAACGGCGGCGUUGCCUAUCACUGGUGGUGUGGUGGUUACUAGAGAGAUUAUCAGUGUGUGGUUCCGGUGGUGACGGGAUCAGGGUCCCGUUCCGGUGGUGCGAUCCAGUGUGAUUAGGGCUCCGGUGAGGUAGGGUUCUAGCGAAAUUAAGAGGUUUUUUGAAGGCGGCGAUUAGGGUUCAGCUGGUGACAAGUCGAAUGGAGUAGACAGCGGUUCAAGUUCAAUUCAUACAGGUAACCUGACUAUUGUUAUCAGUCUGUAUUAGUAGUUUGGACAUGAAUAAGAUUUCUUUUUUAAACCUUUGAUGGAUGUGUAGUGAUGAAAAGUAUUGUUUUCAAUAUAUUUUGAUUAAAGAUUCCUGCUUGAUUCCAAAUCUUUACAUUUUAGUAAUGACAAAUUCUUAUUUUUGAUAAAAAAAAUUAUUGUAAAUUUACAUGAUUUGAUCUCAUGGGAUAUAUGGGGAGAAGCUGAAGAAAUAUAUGCAGAAGAUAAAAGAGAGAUUUGGAGCUGCCGUGUCUCCUGUCACCGGCACGUGUCGUCACUGCAAUCGCUAAAGCUCGCCAGAUAAAUCGAAGCCACGUCAGCAUUACGGAUGGUGAAGUCGAAACGCUCUUCGAACGCUGAUAAGUGGCAAUUGAUGAUCAAACCGGCGUUUGUUCCCGAUAGCCACAUCAACACUACCAUCCGCCGCCACCAACCUUCGCCAUCAAUCACCAUUGUUGUUGUCUCUGGUAGCCGUUGUAAAGAACCCAACCCCAUGACCCCUCACCACCCUCGCCUAACAUCUCCUUCACGACCGAAAUAGAACCCAGUCAGUCCCCAUUAAGAUUACUGUAAUGUCAUUGUUUCGUAACUAUGUUUCGUGAUAUAGAUUUGUUUUAUGUGAGUGAAUUUGAUUAGAGGUAAAGUACACGGAUCAAUGGCAUGUGUGGGUAAGGUGAGAGGCCAAACCCCAAAGGUCGCCAAGCAGGACAAGAAGAAGCAGCCAUGUGGACGCGCUCACAAGCAUAUCCAGUACAACCGCCAUUUCGUCACCUCUGGUAAAGUUCACGGAUCGUUGGUGCGUGUGAGUAAGGUGAGAGGCGGAACCCCAAGGUCGCCAGGCAGGACAAGAAGCAGCAGCCUCGCGGACGCGCUCACAAGCCUAUCCAGUACAACUGUUGUAUUGUCACAGCCGGUUACCAUAAUAGAAAAAAAUUAACAAUGAUGGUGAUACCAAGCUUCUUUAUGCCAAAGGACUGGUCCUCGACUUUUUUGAGGGACCAAAUAGACAUUCACUAUUAUCUUCAAUAUUAAGUAUAUUGUUAUUUGAAACAGAUAAAGCGUUUGAAUAAUCCGGAGCAAUGAAACAUGGUGUGCUGACUCCAGUUGCUUAUGUGAACCCGAAACGCAUGUGCCAAAAGGCUCAGUCUUAUCCGUAUCAUUUUCAGGAUUCAAUUGCGAAUCAAACAUCCUUUUCCUGUUAGAUGGCAAGAUCAUAGCUCCAAAAAGAUCGGGAAGCUGGGAGUCAUCAGGACUCCUUCAAUUGCUCGAGUUCACCAAGCUAAACAAGAUAACGAUUCCGUUAUUGACGGCCAAGGCUCGGGGUGGUGGAGCGAGUCCGGCACUAAACCAACAGUAAGAACUACCCGCAACCGGGAUAAGUGGAAUCUAAAUUUCAUUUUUAAAAGUCUUUGGUUUGCAUAAUUUUUUAGAAUUAGAAUCUAAAUUUCAUUUGUGGUUUGAGUAAUGGAAUUGAAACGUAUCCACUUAAUGCUUUAAUGGUGAGUUUAGUUUGCGAUUUAA